Molecule: long non-coding RNA, 28674 nt
Filed under: Gossypium barbadense (sea-island cotton)
Lineage: Eukaryota; Viridiplantae; Streptophyta; Magnoliopsida; Malvales; Malvaceae
Description: long non-coding RNA (GBAR_LNC007685)
Source: RNAcentral
GUGAAGUAACGGGAGUUCUCGCCAUAUCCGAUCCAGUGAAACCAGGUGGACAAAAAGUUAUUUCCAUUCUCAAGUCAAUGAAUGUAAGAAGCAUCAUGGUGACUGGUGAUAAUUGGGGAACUGCAAGUUCCAUUGCUAGUCAAAUUGGCAUUGAAACUGUUGUUGCAGAAACUAAACCUGAACAAAAAGCAGAGAAAGUAAAAGAGUUACAAGCGGAAGGUUAUGCUGUGGCAAAGGUAGGGGAUGGCAUCAAUGAUUUGCCGGCACUUGAAGCCGCCGAUGUCGGUAUGGCAAUCGGUGCAGGAACAGAUAUUGCAAUAGAGGCAGCUGAUAUAGUUCUGAUGAAGAGUAACUUAGAGGAUGUGAUCACAGCCAUACACCUUUCUAAGAAAACAUUUUCUCAUAUUUGCCUUAACUAUAUUUGGGCAUUUGGGUAUAAUAUGCUUGGGACCCCAAUAGCUGCAGAGUCUCUAUUUCCACCAACUAGAUUUCGUUUACCUCUAUGGAUUGCUGGAGCUGCCAUGGUUGCUUCCUCUGUCAGUGUUGUUUGCUGCUAACUCUUGUUAAUGUUAGAGUUAGUUAUGAAUUGUUAUUCUGGUGCAAUAGUUGUUAAGCCGUUAAGGGAAAGUUAGUCAGUAGCAGUUCUCUAUAAAUAACAGUUGUAAAGUUCAAAGAAAAGCUGGAUAUGAAAUACACAGUAUACUAUCUCUUUCAUUCGUUUCUUCUUUAGUUAAGAUAGUUCUUAUCUUAGGUUUUAUCAUGGUAUCAGUCGCCUAGUUCCUGGUGCUUGUGCUUCUUUUCGUCUUACGCUCAUGGAUCCAUUUAUUGCAUCUCCGACUGGUGGUGCUACUGCUCCUUUCUCCAUUUCGCGUUUAGUGCAUAGUUUUCCUCGUCAUGAAACAAUUAAUUUGGAUAAGACGAACUGUGUUCAAUGGCAACUUCAAGUUCGUUUGAUUGUUGAAGCUAUGAUCUUCAAGGUUUCUUGGACGGUUCUGUUCCUGCUCCGCCGAAGGUGGUGGCUACACCGGAUGGUACUCUCGCUCCGAAUCCGGAAGCGAUUCUGUUCCAACAACAGGGAUAAGUUGCUGGCAUCGUGGCUUCUCUCUACGGUUAAUUCUUCUCUGCUCUCUUAUUUCAUUUCUACUAAAACUGCGAGUGAUAUUUAGAGUGCUGCGAGUCAUUUGUUUGCAGCUUCAUCCAUCGAGAAGGUGUCUCAGAUCCGGCAUGAUCUCCAUGCGGUCCAGAAAGGUGGAUUCGCUGUCAAAGAGUAUGUAUCACGCAUCAAGACUCUGUGUGCUCUUCUAGAGGUGUCGGGUUCGGCUGUUUUUGAGGCAGAGAAAGUGGAGGUACUCCUUGAUUGUAUUUCUUCUGAUUUCGAUUCUGUGUUUAUGUUAGUUUCAGUCUCGUCGGAGCCGUUAUCGUUUCAAAAACUUGUUGAUAUAUUGAUGGCCAUUGAGAAUCGCCAAACACAGGUUGCAAGGGAUGUCCCAAUGGUUACGCAUGUUGUUGAAACUCCUGUUGCGGUUGCUGAGUAUGAUUCUCGUGUUGUGCGUGGUGAGAGGUCAUCGACUGGAUCUCGCGGUGGUCGUGGUUUCCAUCCUAGAGUGCAGUGUCAGAUAUGUAAUCUGCUCGGCCAUGUUGCGCAGUGCUGCUACUAUCAGUUUGACAGAGAGUUUGAUACUUCCUCUUUUAGUCAUGAUGCUCUGGCCGUUGGUGGUGAGUAUCGUUCUCGGGCGUUCCCUCCGGUGCAACGUGUUGAAGGAAGGCAGUGGAUAUGGCAGAAUCAUUCUGCUACGCCUGCGUUUGGAUCUGCAUAGCAUGGUAGGCAGUAUGUGUCGACUGGGCAGCAUGGUGGGCCAUAUGCGCCCCGUGUGUAUGCACCUGGGCCUUAUGCCCGUCCUAGUAGGCAAUUUGUAGAUCGUGGGGCCCAGUAUGAUCUGGGUCAGAUGCAGUAUGCUCCUACGCCAAAUGUUAUUGGCCGAAUGCCUGGGCCACAUGGCCCUCCCGAUUAGCGUCAUGGGCCGGUUCCUGGUGCUCAAACCGUGCCUCAAGAUUCUCUUGGUUCUCUUGUUGCGAAUUUUGUGGGCGUCCCGACUGUUCCGCUUGAGGUCCCGUGGCGUACAAAACAUCAUGCUCGAUUUUUUGAUAUUGAUAAUUCUCAGGAUAUUGGAUUGCCUCGUAUUCUCGAUUUUCGUGCUUCUAAUUUUUCGGACACAUCCCGGUAUGACUCGAGUUUUGGCAGUGUGGAUCCUUAUGUUCCCACACCAGUCGGGACUACAUCGUGGUGCCCGGACUCUGGUGCUUCUCAUCAUAUUUGCCAGAAUGCAGCAGAUUUAAAUGCUCCUACUCUUUAUUCAGGUACAUCUGAAUUUUUAAUGGGCAAUGGGGUUAUUUCUAAAAUGUUGUUUGUAGGAGAUACGAUUCUUUCUUCAAAUUCAAAGCUCUUGCGGUUGACUAAUGUGUUGUGUGUUCCAAGUAUUCGCAAGAAUCUCUUAUCUAUGUCGUAGUUUGCUCAGGAUAACAAUGUGUUUUUGGAAUUUCACCCCUCUUAUUGUGUCAUUAAGGACAUUAAGACGCAUGAAAUCUUGUUGCGGGGCCAAGUUCGUGAUGGGCUCUAUCAUUUCUCAGUUGCUUCCCUUGUCUCAUCUGCUCAAGUGGCUGAGGUUCAUAAUGUUGAUGUUCAAGAUUCCUCAUUGAUCCUUGAUGAUUUCACGCUAUGGCAUAAUCGACUUGGUCAUCCGUCGGCUAGGAUUUUUAAUGAUGUUUUAAAUAAAUAUGGAAUUGUUUCUAAUAAAAAGACUCUCACUAAUGUUUGUAUUGCAUGUCAGAAGGGCAAGUCUCAUAAACUGCCGUUUUCUAAGUCCAAUACUGAGUAUGUGGAGUUGUUUGAAUUAGUUGUAUCUGAUUUGUGGGGUCCGGCAUCUGUUGCCUGUGAAAGAAAUUUGUACUAUGUUUCCUUUGUAGACAUGUACAGUCGGUUUACGUGGGUUUACUUGAUUAAACGUAAGUCUCAAGCAUUAGACUGUUUUCUUCAAUUUCAGAAAUUGGUAGCUACUCAGUUUGGCAAGCAAAUUAAGAAGUUUCAAAGCGAUUGGGGUGGGGAGUUUCAUGUUUUUGCGUCAGUCCUUGCUGAUCAAGGGAUUUUACAUCGUUUAUCUUGCCCGCACACUUUUGAACAAAAUGGAGUGGCUGAGCGUAAGUAUCGACAUAUCGUGGAAAUUGGUCUAACCUUACUUGCUCAAGCUAAUCUUCCUAUGAAACAUUGGGGUUAUGCGUUCAGCAGUGCUGUUCAUCUUAUUAAUAGACUGCCUACUUCUGUUUUACAAGGUCAUACAUAGUAUCAAAGACUGUAUGGGUGUGUUCCCCAAUAUGCUUAUCUCCAGAUUUUUGGAUGUUGUUAUUUUCCGUACCUAUGCCCAUUCUUACGUCAUAAGCUAGAUUUUCAUUCUCAGCCCUGUACAUUUUUAGGUUAUAGCUCUCAACAUAAGGGUUAUUUUUGUCUUACUCCAGAAGAGAAAAUGAUUGUUUCUCGUCAUGUUGUGUUUGAUGAGCAUCGGUUCUUGUUUUUGCCUCCGGUGUCGACUAAUGCUGGUCAUUCUAUGCAAACUGUUACGUAUGUUCCUCUUGUUCAUACGUCCCCUUCCACACAUUCGAAACCUCCUGUCAGUUCUUCACAACUUCCUGUUGUUUCUUCACCGUCUCCUGUGCUUGAAUCUGCUUGUGAGGCUAUUCGCUCUGCUUUUGAUUCUCAAUCUGCAACGUGUUCAUUACCAGCAGCUGUGACUAUUCAGUCUGGUGCUGCUAGUACGGGGAAUGUAAGGGGUAGUUACUCUUCCACUUCGGUGUCUUCUGAGCAGUCAAUCCCGUUAAAUGUGCCUUGUGUUUCUUCAGGAAAUACUCAUGCUAUGGUCACACGAUCGAAGGUAGGAAUUUUCAAGCCCAAGGUUUUAACUGCUAUAGCUGUUGAUUUUGAGCCAUGUUUUAUUGAAGAGGCCCUUGCUCAUCCGAACUGGAAGGUUGCUGUUCAAGCUGAAUUUGAUGCACUCAUGGCUAAUUCGACUUGGGACCUUGUACCUUCUCUUCCUGGACGGCGAGCGAUCGAGUGCAAAUGGUUAUUCAAAAUUAAGAGAAAUCCUGACGGUUCUGUUAAUCGACGAAAGGCUCGCUUAGUUGCUAAAGGGUGUUCUCAAAUACCAGGUUGUGAUUUUACAGAAACCUUUAGUCUUGUAGUUAAACAGGCUACUAUUCGUAUUAUCUUGUCUAUUGUUGUUUCAAGACGAUGGCCCCUUCGUCAGGUCGAUGUGAAUAAUGCAUUCUUGAACGGGGAUUUGGAUAAUGAAGUGUUCAUGCAACGACCUCCGGGGUUUGUUCAGUAUGAUUCUGCUGGGCAGCCUUUUGUCUGUCGAUUGAAGAAGGCCUUGUAUAGGCUUCGAAAAGCCCCACGAACAUGGUUUGAUAAACUCAAGCGGUUUCUUGUGUCUAUUGGGUUUGUCGUAUCGAAGUCUGAUACAUCUCUCUUUAUUCGUAUUACGUCUGAUUCCGUCUUAUAUGUCCUUGUGUAUGUCGAUGAUAUAAUUAUCACUGGUAAUGUCUCAACUGUUAUUGCUAAAUUUGUUGAUUAGUUAAAUGCUGAGUUUGCUCUCAAAGAUAUGGGUGAUUUGCAUUAUUUUAUUGGAAUUGAGGUUACCCGCUCGUCUACUGGGUGCCUUCACUUAUGUCAGAAAAAAUAUAUUCGGGAUCUUCUUGCUCGAAGUUCACUCUCCAAUGCCAAACCGGUUCAUACACCUAUGAUUUUCUCCUCUCGAUUGUCCAAAAGUUAUGGUGAUCCGUUAAGUGAUCCUACAAAUACCGGAGUCUUGUCGGAGCCCUGCAGUUCGUUGUCCUUACUCGUCCUGACAUUGCUUAUGUUGUUAAUCAUAUUUGUCAAUUCAUGCACAACUCUUCUACAGUUCAUAUGGUUGCUUUGAAGCGAAUAUUGCGAUAUUUAUAUGGUACGCUUGAUUAUGGUGUUGUCUUUCGCCCUUCUACCCGUUUGUCUCUUGUGGGAUAUGCUGAUGCUAACUGGGGGUUGGAUUUUGAUGACCGCCGUUCUACGUCUGGCUACUGUAUGUAUUUUGGAUACUCGCCAGUUUUGUGGUGCUCCAAAAAGCAGCAAGUCGUCUCUCGCUCUACGGCUGAAGCAGAAUACCAGAGUCUUGCUGCAGCUACUAGUGAUGUCACUUGGUUGCUCUCUCUGCUUCAGGAGUUACAAGUUUCGUCUGCCGAUACUCCUACUAUCUAGUGUGAUAAUUCUAGUUCCGUUGCCGUUGCUGCUAAUCCUGUUCUUCAUUCUAAGUUUAAGCAUGUGGACCUUGACUUGUUCUUUGUUCGGGAGAAGGUUGCCGCUGGUACCAUUGUUGUUGGUAAGGUACCUGCCUGUGAUGAAGUUGCUGACAUUCUUACUAAGCCACUUUCCUUGGCGUGUUUUACUCGGUUUAGACAAUUUCUUAGGGUUUUUCCUGUCGAGCAGCUGGAUGCAUGUUAGAGUUAGUUAUGAAUUGUUAUUCUGGUGCUAUAGUCGUUAAGUCGUUGAGGGAAAGCUAGUCAGUAGCAAUUCUCUAUAAAUAACAGUUGUAAAGUUCAAAGAAAGGCUGGAUAUAAAAUACACAGUAUACUAUCUUUUUCAUUCGUUUCUUCUUUAGUUUCUAUUCAAGAUAGUUCUUAUUUUAGGUUUUAUCAGUUAAAGAAUUACAAGAGACCCAAGAAGCUGGAAAACCUUGAAAUUGGUGGAAUACAGAUUGAAUAAUAGAUGAUGAGAGUUCUAUAUAUCCACAUAUAUAUAUAUAUAUAUAUAUAUAUGUAUGCAGGUUUGUUAUUUAAGUUAAUUUUAACAGGCUUGUUAGUGGGUUAAGCCUUGCCUAAGUUAUAUUUUAAUUAUUUGCUAUUUUCAUGUUAUGUUUUCCUAAACAAAGAUAUAGAAAGGAAUAUGUAAUGAAAUGCCUGGGAUAUUGUAUUUGUCUAAAACUUUGGAUUCUCUUUUCUCUCUUUUCUGUUAGCCUUCUUCUUUUCUUUAUGGGAUUUCAUUAAUUAUCCUACAUCAAAUUGUAUUCAGAGCACUCAAACUUUAAUACACUUACAUAUGCAUAAUCUUGUAAUCAUAUAAAAAAAUAUAAAUUUUAUUCAACAAAAAUAUAACAUAUUGACAAUAAAAUAAGUUUAAACUAGUUGAUAUUGUGAAAAAUAAAUAUAAAUAUUUUUAAAAUUAAUUAAUGCAUUAAAUAUAAGUAAACAAUAUGUAUUGAAUUAAUGGAAAUAUAUUCUUAUAAGGAAAUUAUCUUAAAUUAAUUUUUUUCAUUCCAAAUUACAGCUUAAGUAGCCAAAUUUCCUCCAUUUUUAUAUUCAUUUUAAGCUGGAAUUUUGGCAGUUCAAGCAAUUAUAGAUAUACAUAUAUGGCUAUUUCUUAUAGAGGAAGAAAACAGUCUCUGAAAUAUCAGUGUCUAUAUACAUAUACACGUGAACUCCCUUUUUUUUUUCUUACCAUUUUCCUAGAAAAUUCUAAGCAUUCAUAUCAUUAGUUUCACGGUGCAUACCAAAUAUAUAUGAAGUUUUAUUUCAUUAACAAAAGUGUAAAAAAAAAAUAAUUAUUCAAAUUUUCCGUUUUUAAUUUAUAUUUAUCAUAAUACAAACUAUUACAAUUCUAAAAAUUAAUUACAAAUUUUAACAAGUAAAUAUAAAAUUAAAAUUAAUAUAUUCAAAGCUAGUAAUGAAUAUAAAAACCUUAAUUUUACAAUUUCACAUUUAAUUUCCAUAUAAAUAUUUUUUUAUAAAUAUAUGUUACGUAUAAAAGAAUUCAUCCAUGGUGCAUAAUCUUAAUAUUUAUAAGAUGCAGAAGUCAAGAGACGAAUGUGAGGGAGCAGGCAGGGGCCUUGACCCCCUAAAAUAAAAAAAAAAUUCAAUUUAAUUUUCUUAUAAAUAAAGAAAUUAUAAUGAAAUUACAUUUUGACCCAUUUAAAUAAAUUUUUUAAUUUAAUUCUCUUAUAAAUAAAGAAAACAGUAAGAUUGUAUUUUAACCCCUCAAAAUAAAAAUGUUUAGUCCCUUCAAAAUAAUCAAAUUAUAAAAUUAAUAUAUAAUAAAUUUAUAUUUUAUCUAUAAAAAAUUAUAGUUAAAUUUCGACUCUGUAAAUUUGUCUUUGCUGAAUCGUAAAUCAAAUUGAUUAACUAAGAUAGAGUAAGAAAAGGAAACCAAUUUGGCUAUGUUGAUUACAACGUAGUGACCAAUCAAUCAUGUUUCCUUAAAAGUUUAUUAAGUUUAUUUUUAUUUUAUUUUGACGAAAUAAGCGUAAUUUCUAUGUUUGCAAAGCCUUAGACUUUUGAGAAUGACAUUAACAGAACAAAUGGUAAAUUUAGCAAUUGGUUGAGCAGUGAACUAAAGAAUUAUUCACUUGGAUAUCCCAAGUUGGGAUCUCAAAUCAAAGAUUUUAUUUUUAUACAGAAAGUUAACCACGUCAGGGAAUGUAUCAUAACCAUGUUAGAGGCAGCUGAUAUACUUUUGAUGAAGAGUAACUUAGAGGAUGUGAUCAUAGCAAUACACCUUUCCAGGAAAACAUAUUCUCAUAUUCGCCUUAACUAUAUUUGGGCAUUGGGGUAUAAUAUACUUGGGAUUCCAAUAGCCACAAGGGCUCCAUUUCCAUCAAGUGGAUUUCGUUUACCUCCAUGGAUUGCUGGAGCUGCCAUGGCUGCUUUCUCUGUUAGUGUUGUUUGCUGCUCACUCUUGUUAAAGAAUUACGAGAGACCCAAGAAGCUGGGAAACCUUGAGAUUAGUGGAACACAGAUUGAAUAAAUAGAUGAUGGGAAUUCUAUAUAUCCACAUAUAUAUGUAUAUGUAUAGGCUAGGGAUGUGAAAUUUGGCAAACUAAAUAAUAAAGAUAUCAUGAAAAGACUGGUUUCGCUAGGCUGCCAAAUUAUGUACACAUGUUUGGUGUUAUGAUUUUCAGGAUAUAAUUGUAGUUUCAAAGUUAGGCGAGCUUUGCAUGAGGAUGAAAGUAUUUUUUUUCUUUUAUAAUACUAAUUUUAUCUGGUACGUGAGAUAAAAUAUAUAAUUAAUAAAAUAUAUUUAAAUACUUAAAGUAGUAAUAAAAAUAUAUAAAUAAAUUAAUGCAUGAAGUUUAUUAUGUUACAUUCUAUUACUGUAUGAGUUGAUAAUUUAUCGGAAAAAGUAUUAAGGAAACCUUUAAAUUUAGGACGGACUACAUUUCGACCUCUUUAUUGAAAAACAAGUAAAGUAAUCCUUAUACAUUUAGAAAUAUGCAAAUUAACCUUUCCCUUAAAUUUUAUCUGUUAAAUAAUUGAUGUGAAACGUUAAAUCCAAGCUGAAAAUUAUUUUUUUAUAGGUAAACUAUAAAAAUUGUCACUCAAUUAUGCUUUUCAUUAUAUUUUGGUUACCAAACUAUUAAUUUUGAUUUAGUCAUUAAACUUUUUGAAUUAAAUAUCUUAGUCACUCUAAGCUUUUGUGAUAUUUUUUUAUUGGUCUAAUAAUAAAUUUAGCCCUCUAAUAUUUACAUAUUCUAUCAUUUUGAUCCUAAAUAUAAAAUAUUCAACAAAUUUAGCCAUCAAUGUUUACAAAAUUUAUCAUUUUAGUUCUAAUUUAAAAAAAACCAAUGAAUUUGGCCCUCAAUGUUUACAAAAUUUUUCAAUUUAGUCCUAACUCCGAAAAUUAAAAAAUAUAUAUUUAAAAACAAAUCAUUUUUACCCCUUUAUAGCCCAUUGGCUAAAUCAUGUGAGAUAUUAAAAUAAGAAAAAGAAGUACCCUCUUUCAAGUCACUUGCAACAAUUUCUUUUACUAUAACUUAAGCUUCAAACUAGACCAAACCAAUUAAUUUGGAACUUUUCUUGAAUAAUCGCGAACAUAUAAUGUUUUUAAUGCCUUUAUUUUCUUUUGGAUCUUAAAUUCUUGUGUUUUAUCUAAAUUUUAAGAGUUUUUUUUUGCAAGUGAGUGGAAAGAUGGUACUCUUUUUUCUUAUUUUAAUAUCUUACAUGAAUUUGCUGAUAGGUUAGAAAGGGCUAAAAAUGAAUUGCUUUUUUAAAAAAAAAAUAUUUUUAAAAUUUUAGAGUUAGGACUAAAUUGACAGAUUUUAUAAAUGUUGAGGGCCAAAUUUAAUAAUUUUUUAGGAUUAGACCUAAAAUGAAAAAUUUUGUAAACAUUAAGGGCUAAAUUUGUUGAAUUUUUUAUAUUUAAGAUCAAAAUGAUAGAAUGUAUAAACAUCGUAGGGCUAAUUUUGUUACUAGACCAAUAAAAAAAAGCCCACACUAACUCAAAGUGAUGGAAAUAUUUAAUUUUGAAAAGCUUAGUGAUUAAAUCAAAAAAAAAUUAAUAGUUGAGUCAGCAAAAAAGAACAAAAGGCAUAAUUUGGUAACCAUUUUUAGAGUUUACUAAUAAAAAAUAAAUUUCAGCAUGAAUUUAACAUUCCACAUAAUCAUUUAACUAAUAAAAUUUAUGAGAGAAAUUAAUUUAUACGUUUUAAAAUGUAUAAUAACUUGUUUACUCAUUUUUUUAAUAGAGUAGAUGAAAUGCAAUCCAUGUGAUGCCUUAUACUUUUAUCUAAAUUAUCUUAUAAACUGAAAUUUAAGUUUUUUUUUUUCUCUAAAAUUUAAGUUUUUUUUAACAGGCUUAUUAGUAGGUUAAGCCUGGCCUAAGUUAUAUUUUAGUUAUUUGCUAUUUUCAUGUUAUGUUUUCCUAUACUGAUAUAUAGAAAGGAGUAUGGAAUGAGAUGCCAGGGAUACCGUAUUUGUCCCAAAACCUCGGAUUCUCUUCUCUUUCUUUCCUGUUAGUAAAAACUAAAUAUUUUUAAAUAUUAAUAUUGUGAAAAAUAAAUAUAAAUAUUUUUAAAAUUAAUUAAUGAAUUAAAUAUAAGUAAACAAUAUGUAUUGAAUUAAUGGAAAUAUAUUUUUAUAAGGAAAUUGUCUUAAAUUAAUUUUUUUCAUUCUAAAUUACAGCGUAAGUAGCCAAAUUUCUGCCAUUUUUAUAUUCAUUUUAAGCUGGAGUUUAGGCAGUUCAAGCAACUACAGAUAUACAUAUAUGGCAAUUUUUAUAGCGGAAGAAAACAGUCUCGGAAAUAUCUGUCUCUAUAUAUUUCACGUGAACUCCCUUUUUUUUCUUUUAUUACCAUUUUCCUAGAAAAUUCUAAGCAUUCAUAACAUUAGUUUCACGGUGGUAAAAAAAAACAAUUAUUCAAAAUUUCCGUUUUUAAUUUAUAUUUAUCAUAAUGCAAGCUAUUAUAAUUCUAAAAAUAAAAUUAAAAAUAAUAUAUUCAGUUAAAAAGCUAGUAAUGGAUAUGAAAACCUUAAUUUUACUAUUUCACGUUUAAUUUUCAUAUAAAUAUUCUUUUAUAAAUAUAAGUUACAUAUAAAAGAAUUCAUCCAUUAAUGGUGCAUAAUCUUAAUAUUUAUAAGAUGUAGAAGUUAAGAGACGAAUGUGAGGGAGGGCGGGGACCUUGACCCCUUAAAAUAAAAAAAAAUUAAUUUAAUUUUCUUAUAAAUUAAGAAACUAUAAAUUAAUAUAUAAUGAAAUUACAUUUUGACCCAUUCAAAUGAAUUUUUUUAAUUUAAUUCUCUUAUAAAUAAAGAAAACAGAAAGAUUGUACUUUAACCCCCUCAAAAUAAAAAUGUUUAGUCACUUCAAAAUAAUCAAAUUAUAAAUUAAUAUAUAAUAAAUUUAUGUUUUAAUCUAUAAAAAGUUAUAGUUAAAUUCUAACUCUGAAAAUUUGUCAUUGCUGAACCAUAAAUCAAAUUGAUUAACCAAGAUAGAGUAAGAAAAGGAAACCAAUUUGGCUAUGUUAAUUACAACAUAGUGACCAAUCAAUCAUGUUUCCUUAAAAUUUAUUAAAUUGAUUUUUAUUUUAUUUUGAUGAAAUAAGCACAAUAUUCUAUGUUUGCAAAGCCUUAGGCUUUUGAGAAUGACACUAAUAGAAUAAAUAGUAAAUUUAGCAAUUGGUUGAGCAGUGAACUAAACAAUUAUUCACCUGGGUUGGGAUCUUAAAUUAAAGAUACUAUUUGUAUUUUUAUUUUUAUACAGAAAGUUAACCACAUUAGGGAAGGUACCAUAACCUAGAGGAUGCAGCUGAUAUACUUCUGAUGAAGAGUAACUUAGAGGAUGUGAUCACAGCCAUAUACCUUUCCAGGAAAACAUUUUCUCAUAUUCACCUUAACUAUAUUUGGGCAUUGGGGUAUAAUAUACUUGGGAUUCCAAUAGCUGCAAGGACUCUAUUUCCAUCAACUAGAUUUCGUUUACCUCCAAGGAUUGCUAGAGCUGCCAUGGCUACUUCCUCUGUUAGUGUUGUUUACUGCUCACUCUUGUUAAAGAAUUACAAGAGACCUAAAAAGCUGGAAAACCUUGAAAUUGGUGGAAUACAAAUUCAAUAAUAGAUGAUGGGAGUUCUAUAUAUCCAUAUAUAUAUAUAUAUGCAGGUUUGUUAUAUAUGUAUAGGUUGGGGGUGUGAAAUUUGACAAACUAAAUAAUAAGGUGUCAUGAAAAGAGUGGCUUUGCUAGGCUGCCAAAUUAUGUACAUAUGUUUGGUGUUAUUAUGAUUUUCAGGAUAUAAUUGUAGUUCCAAAGUUUGGUGAGCUUUGCAUGAGUAUGAAAGAUUUUUUUUUUCUUCUAUAAUUCUAAUUUUAUCUUGUAAGUGAGAUCUAAUAUAUAAUUAAUAUAAUAUAUUUAAAUAAUUAAAGUAGUAACAAAAAUAUUUAAAUAAAUUAAUGCUAAAAAUAUUUAUAAUUGGAAUCCAAACUAACUAAUUCAUCAUAACUUGAGUUCAUAACAAAUUAAAUUCAUAAUAGCAUAAGUCAUUUAUUAUUCAAAUAAUCGAUCGACUCUUAAUUCUAUCGAUAUUUGCAUUAUAUAUGUUCUAAACAUUCAAUUAAUUAAAUUAAGUAAUUAUUUUAUCAAAAUAUUAUUAGUAAUAAAUUUAAAAUUAUUUAAUUAUAGAAUAAACAUCAAUAUAAUUUUGAUCUGCUAGUAAAUUAGGAAAUAAUUUACAUAAAGAAUUUUUAUGUAGAACUAAAAAUGUAUAUUGGUUAUAUAUAUAUAGAAAUAAUAUUUGAUAUAUUAUUAGUGGAGUUUUUAGACUCCACAAGCAUUAUCAAGAGUAAUGGUAGAAGAGACGUAAUUACUUUUGCCUUUUUUUUUGGAAGCUUUAUCCCGUCUCCAGGGGUUCUCAUAUUCAACCCCUCUUUUACUUUUUUUUUUUGUACCAAUAACUUUUCUUAACAUGGAAUGUGAAAUAUUUGUCUAAUUUACAUUCUUUUUGCUCAAUUCCCUUUCUAGGUUGCCAAAUAAAAUUGGAUAAUCUAAUUUCUAUUUCAAGGUUCAUCCAUGGGAUUUCAUGAUGUUAUGGUACGCCCCUCUUAUCUUUUUCUUUCUUUCUUUUGUUUUGCUAUUUUUCUUUACAUUUCUCAUUGACUUAGCAGGUUUCUCUUUGAUUCGUAUGAUUGUUUGAUCGUAUAAUGUUGCUUCGAGUUUAGUUAUAGAUCCUAUCUAUUUGUUUUCUCUUUGUCAUUUUCCUUUAGGAGGUAAUCAAGUUAGUGACAAUUUUAGGUAUGAUGGUGUCUAUUACUUUGGCUCUAAUUGCUAGAAACUAAGCUUUGUAAAGCUAGAUUAUUUUAGAAUUAUAAGAUUUUUUUUAAAAGUGUAAGAGUUUAGCAUGCUAUCGUCCAUCUGAAAUACUUGUAGUGAAGGACACUUUAGGAGAUUAUUGAGGAAUCAAUAAAUUUGUUCAAUGUUAAGGUGAACUUUCCGCUGACGAUUUGGUGGUUGGGAUGAUUGAAAAAGCCAUUAAAAAAAACCCACAUGCCAAAAAAGUUCUAUUUUAGAUGGUUUUUCAAUGACUGUGGUUCAGGCACAAAAGGUGCUUUACUUAAUGUCACAUACUAAUAUCCCUUGCAGUUUUUUUUCCCUUUUUGAGUAUUAUGUUGGCUUUGAUACUUCUUGGGCUUUAACCAUGUUUGUUGUCUUGCUUAUACAGCUUCAUAAGAUGCCUUAGAAGCUACUAACUAAGAUUGACAAUGUGUUGAACUUUGCAACCGAUGAUUCCUUUUUUGAGGAGAGGAUCAAUGGUUGUUAGAUUGAUCCUUCUAGUGGUUGAAUCUAGCCCAUGAAAUUUGCACCUUCUGAAGUUCUCAGUGUUGAUGAUGUAGGUUUCCUUUUACUAUAAUUUUGAUUCAUCUUUUCUAUUACUAAAUGAUUAUUGAUAUCAAGUAAAGUUGCAAGCUCCAUUGCAUUAGAUAUAUGGGCUAAUUUGUUAAACUAACUGUGACAUUCGUCAAUGCCCUUAUGCUAUUGUUAGUGUUUGUAAAUUAUAUUGAACGCAUUGAAAAAAAUAGAACUUGCAUUCUCUUUAGGAUAGUUAUAGUUCUUACUUAGUUUUCAUCAACAAUGUCUACACAAAUGUGCUGCCUUUGCACCAUUGGAAAUGAAUUAAAGCUAGAUUCUCUUAAGACAAUGAUAUUUGAAUUGUGCAUGAUUGUUUGAUUGACAUACUUAUGUUCGCUUUGACCUUACUUGUUUGUGUAACUAAGUCCACCUUCAGACUGUAGGAGAUUGAUUGUUGGCUCAAACAAAGUUGAAACUUGUUUGACAGUUGGUGUUAUUUAAGCAAACUUAAUGGGUUCUUCAAAAUAACACUAUUAUGUGGUGAGAUACUGUCGAAGUUCGAUUUCUCCAUACAUAAAUCAGAUUUUGAGAUUGAUCAUAUAUCUUGAAUUGGAGUUAUCUUGAAAAUGUUUCUACUUUUAUUGGUGACAGUGUGGAAUAGAUGCCUAUGCAACUGAUAGGGUGCUUUUUUUAUCUUCCAAGCCUUCUGUAUACGCAAAUAUUAACUACAAUGCGCUAUCUACUACUAUCAGUUGUAGACAGACCUCUAUUGUUAGAUCACUUUUACAGGUAAACAUCUCAGAACAUAGUCAAUCAUGAUCUGUAGCUUCCCACUAGAAUUUUUUUUUUGAAUUUGCACUCUUUGUUACAUGGGAUUUAAAGUGCUAUAUAUGUAUAAGCUUUUUAAUCAAGUUGUUGCUUGUGUACUUAUCUGUAGAGUGUUCUUAAAAGACAUUACUAACUUUUUCAAAAUUGAUGAUCAGACUGGCAUCAAGAUGGACUUAAAGGUAAGAGUUGGAGACUGGUUUUGGUAUUGCAAAAUGGAAAUUCAUAUUGUGGCGAACUUAACUUGUAUAGCCAUGAGCUCACUUGAAGCUGUGAGCUUAUCUAAAGUAGCGAGCUUACAUAAAGACGUGAGCUUAACUCAAGUUGCGAGCACAUUAAAGUGUGAACUAUUAAGGUUUUUGAUAAACCCUCAAUUAAAAUGCAAGUAGGGUUCAAAUAUGCUGAUAUUGAUGUUUUGUUUAGUCUGCUUGUUUGAGAUUAUUUGUUAAAACAAGCAGAGUUAGUAUUAAUUUGAUGUUUUUAGGUACUGAUUUACCUAAUCAGUUAGUGUGCAAGUUUUAUUUUUGCAUUUUCAAGGUGAUUUAGUAGGAUUUGUUGAUUAUUUGUAACCACUAUACGUAUAUAUUGUAAUUCAUGUGGAAUGAGAGGAUGAUGAGAAUUUGGUAGCAAUUCAUCAAUAAAUGCUAAGUAUUGUCAUUGUUUUCUCUCUAUUUUUUAUUGCUCUGUUCUCUCAUCUUCUCAAAACACCAAUAAUUGGUAUUAGAGCCUUAGUUUUUAAGGGUGUUGUGUGUGUUUUUCUUGUUGAAAAGAGUGUUGAUUGUAUCUUGUUUGUAUUGCAAUGUCAUUUAAAAGUUUUACACCACCUCCACCUUCUAUCUUUGCUAGAGAGAACUGCCAUUUUUGGGUAGUAAAGAUGAAAACGUAUCUACAGGCAUAUGACUUGUGGGAAGUUGUUGAUUCAAACAGAGAACCACCACCUUUGUAAGCUAAUCCAACUAUAGCUCAAAUUAGACAGCACAGUAAUGGUGUAUAAUCUUAAUAUUCUUUUAUAAAUAUAAGUUACAAGAUAAUGCUUUAGAAUAACGUAUUUUUAUGUAUAAUGCUUUAGAAUAACGUAUUUUUAUGUAUUAAUCAUGUGUUUAUUCUGAGCUUGAUUCUACUAAUUUGAGCUAUUUAUGUCUUUUUAUCUUUUAGGGACUGAUUUGGAGGCAAAAGCAAAAUUAAUGGAUAAAAGUGCGAAUUUGGAGACACAAUGGGCUGAUAUGCGACACAGGAAAAAGAUUGUGCCAAAAGUGCAAGCAUGGAAGACACAAGGACUAAAAACGCAAAAAGAAGAGAUUUUAUUCUAUAAGACUCCAUUUUAUUAGGAUAAUUAUUAGGAUUAUUUAAAUUUUAGGAUUUUAUUUUAAUUAUCUCUAUUUAUCUUUAAUUACAUGUAUUUAUCUUUUUAGAACUUAAGUUAAAUUAGACUAUCUCCCUAGCACUAUAAAUAGGGGGUGAAGUGACUCUAUUUGGGUUCAUCUUUUUCUGAAAAUACUCCCCCCUGAAAGUCUAGGCUUUUGUUUCUUCAUAUUUUCUUUCAAUAAAAAUUCCCUUUUCCCUUUUUAUAUUUAUUUUCUUUUCCACCAUUAUGAUGAGCCACUAAAACCUAUCUAGCCGAAAGUUGUCAAUAUUCCCCAAAAAAGGGUUCUUGAGGCCUAGAAUCCGUACUUAGCCUUCUCGCCAAGUAUUUAUCGUUUCUCUGCACUACGGGCUGACGCUUCCGUCCAUGGCCCUUAAGAAGUAAACUUUUCAGCAUAUGCAGAGGCGACCGCUUUGUAUGUUUUGGAAGGAUUGCACAGUCGGUUCGUUAACUUACUGCGUGAGAGGUUGGCAAGCCAAAGAGACAAAAUGGGGUGGGAUUCGCCAUUGAGAAGCGUUGAUCUAGCAUAGAUUACUGGCUAGAGUCAGAUUCCCUAAAAAUCGUAAGUCUAAUCUUUGGAGCUGGUGGUCGUAGGCGUCUUCUUCCACUAUAACUAGCUUACUUGAGUUGAGAAGGGUCAUUUAAAAGUCAAGGAUCGAACCCAAGGCAGAAUGAGACAACUAGAGGCUGGAAUCUACCAAUAAGAAUUUCUUUUCUUUUAACUCUCUUUAUUAUUUUUAUUAUUUUCGUAAUCACAAUUUCAAUCAACUUUAGAUUCUGUCUUUCAUUCUUUUCCAAAUUAAAUCUUUAAUUCUGUUAUUUUUAUUUUUUUCUACCACGCAAGUUUUCUUGGGCACGAUUCUGCCUAAGAUUUCGAGAAACAAGCAUUCGUAUAAUCCAAUCCCUGAGGAUUCAACCUACUUCCCCUUUACUGUUCUUUUUCAUUAUUUUACAGGGAAUAGGAUAUUAUUGGUGCUCUCAACUAUGCAUCAAAUUUUGGUGCCGUUACCGGGGAUCGGUAAUGUACUAAUCUUGUUUUUUGUUUCUUAUGACUAGAUCUGCUCCAGGAACUCUUGCGUUUGAUUCAGAGAUUGAAAAGACUACGAGAGCUAAUUGCAAGGAAACAAAGCUAAGAAAAAAGCAGUCAGCGGUGGUUGGGACUUAAAGUAAUCCACCACCAGAAAUCAGAAUCGACGACAAAGCAGAGUCUAGGGUUAACAAAAACCCUACUUAAACUUUUGAAGGUGAAAAAGUAGAAGUCGAUUCCUCAGAAGAAGUGUUUAACAUUAGGGUUGACGAAAACCCUAAUUUAGCACCUCAACCUAUUGCUCAGACAAUUCAGCAAUUGGCCAAAGCACCGACAGAACAACCGCUACUAUGCAUCGCGUAUCCUACUAUGGAUACUGAUUUUGAAUUAAAGUCAGGCUUGAUCCAGCUACUGCUAACUUUUCGGGGUUACAGAACGAAAAUCCUCAUAAGCAUUUGAAAGAAUUCCAUAUGGUUUGCCUUAGUAUGAAACCUCAGGGGGUAACUAAGGAUCAAAUUAAACUGCGCGCUUUCCCUUUUUCCUUAGCAGAUUCUGCUAGGGAAUGGUUAUUUUAUUUACUUCUUGGAUCUGUAACGACUUGGGUUGAUCUGUCUCGUUUAUUUCUCAACAGGUUUUUUCCAGCGUCGCGUACGAGUUAAGAAGAGAAAUCGUGGGCAUAAGGCAAAAAGACGCAGAGACUCUGUACGACUAUUGGGAGUGAUUUAAAAAGUUGUGUGCAAGUUGCCCACAACACGGUAUAAUGGAACAGUCUUUGCUCCAAUACUUUUAUGAAGGCCUGAAACCCAUGGAGAUGAAUAUGGUAGAUGUCGCGAGUGGAGGAGCGUUAGUCAACAUGACUCCACAACAAGCAAGAGACUUAAUCUCCACAAUGGCUGCAAAUUCUCAGCAAUUUCGAGCCAACCCUGAAUCCCCUAGAAGGGUUCACUAGCUAAGUAAUUCGACCUUAGAAGAUAAAUUUGAUAGACUUACUAAUAUUAUAAGCUCUCUUAUUGCAGAAAAAGCCAAACCAGCCCGAGUAUGCGGAAUAUGUGCUACCUUUGAACAUACGACUGAUGUAUGUCCCAGUUUGAAUGAUACUAUGGCUCAUUUAGAUGCUGCGGGAAAUUUUCCUGGACCACAACAAAGGCGAUAUGACCCUUACACUAACACCUACAACCCAGGAUAGAGGGACCACCCUAACUUAAGUUAUGGGGCCAAUCCACGAUAUAACCAGCCAUACCAAAAUCGGGUUCCACAGCAGCCACAAAAUUCAGGUAAUUCUCUGGAAACAUUGGUUAAUAAAUUAGCAGCUAAUAUGCUUGAUUUUCAACAAAAUACCGAGGCAUCUAUAAGAGAAUUGACCAUAUCAAUUGAGAAAUUAAACUUUCAAGGGAAGCUGCCAUCACAAACAGAACCUAAUCCAAGAAAACACGCAAAUGCAGUGACGUUGCAAAGUGGAAAGGUACUAGAACCAAUUCUUGAUAGGAAUCUUGGCCAAGAAAUCACCUAGGAAAAACUCGAAGACGACGAACAGGUCCGAGCGAAGCCUCCACUGCCGAAAAUCCAACCUCCAUUCCCAAGACGAUUAAACCAGUGUCGAAAAAGAUUAGAAGAAAGGAGGAACAACAAAUCUGCAGCCAAACAGCCCCUACUCGACACUUUUGGCCAGCAACUAACGGAUCCCAUUGCCAUCAUACGUAAACGGCAGUAAUAACACGGGGAGUUCCUCUACACCUUUUUCUCCUAUUUUAUUUGUUCCACAUCGGGGACUAUGUGUUUUAAGUAGGGAGGAGGCAUUCCUCAUUAUUUCUGUCUUUUAGCUGCUGAUUUGGUUGUUGCUGCACAUAUAAUUUUUUUUAAUAAUAUUUUGCCUCUUUUCAUGCCCAAGAAUUUGACCACGACUUGCCCACUGUUUGACCCAUAUGCAUGAGUCUUAUCUACUGAGUUAAUUAUGAUUUUUCUUGAUAGAUUUCAUCUCCACUGUUUUAUUUCUUUUAGUUUAAAUAAUUAUGAUUAAUAGAAUUAACCCUAACUUUAUUUUGGUAAAUUUGAUUAAGUCUAAAUACAAGAGGACACUUAAUACAAUUGCAUGCUUAAAAUAUGUUCAUAACUAUUAAGUUGGUUACUAAAACUUAUUUUUGACAUUUGUUUGUUUUUCUAAGUCCUCCAAAAUUAAAAUUUCGUUUAAUAAUAAUAAUGUUUCCGUGGUUAUGAGUGCAGCUUAAGACGUGACUAGCUGAGUAACCGGGAUAGGGUGCUUGGGUUGUCAUCCUAUUUCGCGUCAAAAGGUUGUGUGACGUGUUAGGUAAAACUCCGCUAACCGGAAUUAAUUUCUAAGAAUGUGUUGGGCUGAGUAACCGGGGUGAGGUGCUUGGCUGUCAUCUCUCUUCGCGUCAAAAGGUUCGAUAUGUUUUAGGAAAAAUAAAAAUUAGGAGUAUGUUGGGCUGAGUAACCGGGGUGGGGUGCUUGGCUGUCAUCUCUCUUCGCGUCAAAAGGUUCAAUAUAUUCCUAAGUAAAAAUAAAUAAAUAAAAUUAAAAUUUUAUAAAAAAAAGAAAAAAAAGUCAUAUUAAUAAAAUGUGAGGACUAAAGGUAAAAACGAAUAGAGUGUCUUGAUAGAUUUGGUAAAUUACCUAAUUUUCAUGAAAUAAUCCAAGUCGAUCUUAAUUUAUGUGUGUUAACUGGAACACUUUUUCAAUUUUACUUAAAUCAAGCUAAAGGUUUUCUUUAUUUUUCGUAUGCAUUUUGACUAAUUUUUAUAAAACUUUGGAGUAGAAUUUCUUUCAUGGCAGGAUUUAAUUUUCAUGGUGGACAGGAACCAUACUUGAGGGCAAGCAUGGGCUAAGUAGGGGAAUUUGAUAAUGCUCCAGAAUAACGUAUUUUUAUGUAUUAAUCAUGUGUUUAUUCUGAGCUUGAUCCUAUUAAUUUGAGCUAUUUAUGUCUUUUUAUCUUUUAGGGACUGAUUUGGAGGCAAAAGUAAAAUUAAUGGACAAAAGUGCGAAUUUGGAGACACAAUGGGUUGAUAUGCGACACAGGAAAAAGAUUGUGCCAAAAGUGCAAGCAUGGAAGACACAAGGACUAAAAAUGCAAAAAGAAGAGAUUUUAUUCUAUAAGACUCCAUUUUAUUAGAAUAAUUUAUAUUAGGAUAAUUAUUAGGAUUAUUUAAAUUUUAGGAUUUUAUUUUAAUUAUCUCUAUUUAUAUUUAAUUAAAUGUAUUUAUCUUUUAGAAUUUAAGUUAAAUUAGACUAUCCCCCUAGCACUAUAAAUAGGGGGUGAAGUGACUCUAUUUGGGUUCAUCUUUUUCUGAAAACACUCUCCCCCUGAAAGUCUAGACUUUUGUUUCUUCAUAUUUUCUUUCAAUAAAAAUUCCCUUUUCCCUUUUUAUAUUUAUUUUCUUUUCCACCAUUAUCAUGAGCCACUAAAACCUAUCUAGCCGAAAGUUAUCAAUAUUCAUCAAAAAGGGUUCUUGAGGCCUAGAAUCCAUACUUAGCCUUCUCGCCAAGUAUUCAUCGUUUCUCCGCACUACGGGCUGACGCUUUCGUCCAUGGCCCUUAAGAAGUAAACUUUUCAGCAUAUGCAAAGGCGGCCGCUUUGUAUGUUUUGGAAGGAUUGCACAGUCGGUUCGUUAACUUACUGCGUCAAAGGUUGGCGAGCCAAAGAGACAAAAUGGAGUGGGAUUCGCCAUUGAGAAGCGUUGAUCUAGCAUAGAUUACUGGCUAGAGUCAGGUUCUUUAAAAAUCGUAAGUCUAAUCUUUGGAGCUGAUGGUCGUAGGCGUCCUCUUCCACUAUAACUGGCUUACUUGAGUUGAGAAGGGUCAUUUAAAAGUCAAGGAUCGAACCCAAGGCGGAAUGAGACAACUGGAGGCUGGAAUCUACCAAUAAGAAUUUCUUUUCCUUUAACUCUCUUUAUUAUUUUUAUUAUUUUUGUAAUCACAAUUUCAGUCAACUUUAGAUUCUGUUUUUCAUUCUUUUCCAAAUCAAAUCUUUAAUUCUGUUAUUUUUAUUUUUUUCUGCCAUGCAGGUUUUCUUGGGCACGAUUCUGCCCAGGAUUUCGAGAAACAAGCAUUCGUAUAAUCCGAUCCCUGAGGAUUCGAUCCUACUUCCCCUUUACUGUUCUUUUUCAUUAUUUUACAGGGAAUAGAAUGUUUUUGGUGCUCUCAACGACACAUCAUUACAUAUAAAAGAACUUAUCCAUUAAUGGUGCAUAAUCUUAAUAUUUAUAAGAUGUAGAAGUUAAGAGACGAAUGUGAGGGAGGGCAGGGACCUUGACCCCUCAAAAUAAAAAAAAAUUCAAUUUAGUUUUCUUAUAAAUUAAGAAACUAUAAAUUAAUAUAUAAUGAAAUUGCAUUUUGACCCAUUCAAAUGAAUUUUUUUAAUUUAAUUCUCUUAUAAAUAAAGAAAACAGUAAGAUUGUACUUUAACCCCUUCAAAAUAAAAAUGUUUAGUCCCUUUAAAAUAAUCAAAUUAUAAAUUAAUAUAUAAUAAAUUUAUGUUUUAAUCUAUAAAAAGUUAUAGUUAAAUUCUGACUCUGAAAAUUUGUCAUUGCUAAACCAUAAAUCAAAUUGAUUAACCAAGAUAGAGUAAGAAAAGGAAAUCAAUUUGGCUAUGUUAAUUACAACAUAGUGACCAAUCAAUCAUGUUUCCUUAAAAUUUAUUAAAUUGAUUUUUAUUUUAUUUUGAUGAAAUAAGCACAAUAUUCUAUGUUUGCAAAGCCUUAGGCUUUUGAGAAUGACACUAAUAGAACAAAUGGUAAAUUUAGCAAUUGGUUGAGUAAUGAACUAAACAAUUAUUCACCUGGAUAUUCCAGGUUGGGAUCUUAAAUUAAAGAUACUAUUUUUAUUUUUAUUUUUUUACAGAAAGUUAACCACAUUAGGGAAGGUAUCAUAACCACGUUAGAUGCAGCUGAUAUACUUCUGAUGAAGAGUAACUUAGAGGAUGUGAUCACAGCCAUACACCUUUCCAGGAAAACAUUUUCUCAUAUUUACCUUAACUAUAUUUGGGCAUUGCGGCAUAAUAAACUUGGGAUUCCAAUAGCUGCAAGGGCUCUAUUUCCAUCAACUAGAUUUCGUUUACCUCCAAGGAUUGCUAGAGCAGCCACGACUACUUCCUUUGUUAGUGUUGUUUACUGCUCAUUCUUGUUUACGGCUACCACUCCUUAUGGUCUAAUUACCAUAUCAAUCCACCACCACUCAAUUCCAUGACAAUUUAGCACCUUUUAAAAAUAUAAGCUAACAUUUACGUCAUUUACAAUUUAGUCUUUUUUACCUAAUUAGCUAUCCAAAUGAUAAAAUUUCUUAACCAAAUUUAAAUAUGACACUAAUAACCUCAUAAAUAUUAAAUAAUUAGUAUUUACUAACCAAUAGAUUAGAAUUGUGGUUUCAAAACCACUAUUUCUAACACCACUAACAAACGAGCUGUUAUGAAGUUGGGUUUCAAUUUGAUUGUAAACAUAGAGGUACAAUAGGUUCAAAUUUUAAGGAAUAAAUAUAACAUUUUUGGGUUGAUACUAGAGAAUAUUAAGCAUACAAACUACUCCUAUUUAUGAAAAUCCUUAAUUAACAUUUGGGAAGAGGUGAAGAAGGGCCUUAUAUGGAUUGUCCGUGAUGGGUGCUUGGUUAACUUCUGGAAUGAUGACUAAGUGAGGGAAAUAGGGCCUCUAAAGUGACAUUAUAUUAUUCAUGGAAUUUUAGACGAGACAAUUCGAGCUUGUGAUAUUGCCACGUCAGAUGGUUUAUGGAAUGUGCAAUGGUUGUUAUCUAUUUUCCUCAUAAUGUGGUGAAGCAUAUAUUUGCGUGUAAGGCACCAGAAAGAGAUGCGGGGACUGAUCAUAUUAAUUGGCGUUGGAUGUCAGCAGGAAGGUUCUCGUUAGCAGAGUCAUACAAAUAUUUGUUUUCUGUUAGUGUACAAAGACAAAACAUAGAUUUCAUGUUAAUCUGGAAGGUGAGUACAGCACAAAGAGUUUGUGUUUUCUUAUGGUUACUUUUUCAGGACAAGUUGUUGACAAAUGAGAAGUGCACUCAUCGGGGUAUGUCCCAGGUUCUGUUUUGUAAGCAAUGUGGUAAUCUGGUCGAAUCAACAAUUCACGCGAUUACAAAUUGCGUUUUUGCACAAGCAGUGUGGAAAUCAGUUGUUCCAUGUUGGUGUUGGAGCCAAUUCUUUUACUUGUCGAGCGAUAAAUUGGUUAUGUGGAAUAUCAAGAAUGAAGGUGAGAUAAUGGUUCCGAACAAUAAGUAGGCAACUUUUUUCUCAAUUAUAUGUUGGUUUCUUUGGAAGCAUAGGAAUGCUUUUAUCCUUAGUGAUGCUAGUGGGAGCAGUUCAGAACUUAUUAGUUAAGCUUUGGCGUGGAGUAAGUCCGUGGGGGUUAGAAGGGUUGUUAAUCAAUGUGCAUGUAUGUAAAUGACAGUUGGAAGAUGGCAACCCCCAGUGGUUGAUUGGGUUAAAGUUAACGUUGAUGGUUCAAUUUUAAGAAAUAACCUAAAAGCAUCUGUAGGAGGGGCAGUGAGAGAGCCUAAUGGAGGAUGGUUGGUAGGAUUCAAGAUGGUAUUAGGUAUGAAUGAUAUUUUCUAGAUUAAAGCCAGAGCGAUUCUUGAAAGACUGAAAUUGGCAUGGGCUAGAGGAUUCAGAUGUGUUGAGUUGGAAAGUGACAACGCAAUGUUGAUCGAAUAUAUUCGUAAUGGGUUGGCUACAGUAAGUAGUGUUGUUGAAGUAAGACAGAUUUACGAUUGGUGUUCCAAAAAUUGGAAAGUCAAAUUUUGACAUAUUUAGCGGAAUGCCAAUAAAGUUGUUGAUUGCAUGGCUAAGGCAGAUAGAGGCAUAAUUGACAAGCUAAUUAUCCUGGAAGAUCUAUCGCAUUACGUGUGAUGCUGGCUUGAAGAAGAUAUUAAAAAGUUGCUGGUGACUGAUGAUAAUUUUCAUUAUGAUGAUGCUCACUUAAUUUUUUAAGCUUAUGUUCAACAAAAAAAAUUUUUAGCUUAUUGAUAUUGCGAAAAAUAAAUAUAAAUAUCUUUAAAAUUAAUUAAUAAAUUAAAUAUAACAUAUAUUAUUUUUAAGUAAACAAUAUGUAUUGAAUUAAUGAAAAAAAUAUUUUUAUCAAGAAUUUGUCUUAAAUUAUUUUUUUUCAUUCCAAAUUUGUCUGAGAUAUCAACAAAACAUAAGGAAAUUUUUGUCCAAAUUUGUUUCUAUAUUUUUAUGAGGAAUUUGUAGAUUAUUAUGGUAACAAAUGACCAUUUAUAAGUCAUGUCAUAUAAGAAUUGUUUCCUUUUGUGUAACCUCAUAUUAUUAUAAUAUAUAUAUAUAUAUAGAAAAUAUUUAUUAUUAUGUCAGUGAAACUUUUAGACAUCAAAUGCAAUGUGAGGGAGUUGAUAAGUAUCUUAUAGAGUAUAUUAGAUAUAUUAAAUAUGUUCUAAGUCUUUGUACUCCUCGAAUAUUUGAAAUUUAGUCCUUACUUUUAUUAAAAGGAAUUUACUCCUCUACUUUUUAGAUUUAAAAAAGUAAGUUAAAUUGUUAACACGGUUAAAUUUUUUUGUUAAAUUUAAUAUCAUAAAUCGUCAUUUUUUUUAGUUAUAUAAUUAUCAAGUGAGUUUUUUUUUUAAUUUUAAAAUAUCAUAUUAAUAAAUUUAACAAAAAAAAUUAAAAUGUUAACUAUUGGAUUUGAAUUUAAAAUAUAAAAAAUAGAAUAAUUAAAUUUCUGAAAAUAAAAAUCUAAAAAUUAAAUUUUAAAUUUAUUAUACUUAAUAUAGUAUAUUUUAACAAAGUUUAAACCAAGAAAUGCAACAGUUUGAACCAAUUGAGAAAUGGGCAAAGCGCAAAAUGUUCCGUUCACACGCCGAAAAGUACAAAACAAGGGGACGUAGCCCUGAUGCGAAUACGGCCCCAGUUUAUCCGAUGUGGGACCAUAUGAAAAUUCCGCGUUCUAAAGUUUGCCUUCACUGUCCACAGACGACGUUUUGACAGUCUUCUCAAAAUUCUAUAAAUUACGCUGCAUGGUACCCUUUUCAACUUGUAUUAGCCUCGUUUGAAAAUUAAAUAAAUUAAAUCUUGUUAUAGUUGCUCUGCUUUUGCUGCUCUUAUACUGAGUUCCAAGCAAAACCCUUUUCUGUUUUUCGUCUGAUUUCGCUAAGGUCUUCUUUGGGUAGUUUGAGAUCUGAAUUUUCCAUCAUACUAUGGCUUCUCAAUCUUCUAAGGAAUCAGUUCAUGAUUUCACUGUUAAGGUUGAUUUUGGGUUUAAUUCAAAUUUAUACCCCCAUAGAUUAAAUUUAAAUUGUCUUUCAUUUAUCUCACUGGGUUUUUGUUUUUUUAUUUUGGCUGUUCAGGAUGCAAGAGGGAAUGAUGUUGAUGUGGCAAGAAGUUUGACGAUGGCGACAAAGUUGUUAGCUUCGUCAUGCAUAAGGAAGGAGAGUUAUGGGGAUUUGUCACCAAGGCCUCAUUAUCCAUCGAUGCCCAAAUACCCAAAAGGGGUUACGGCACAAGAAACGAGCUUGCAGGGAUCAGAGGCGAAAGCUAUGUUUUCAGGAUGGGGAUGACAUGUUCAGCCUGCGCUGGCUCCGUCGAGAAGGCUAUUAAGAGGCUUCCGGGAAUUAAGGAAGCUGUUGUUGAUGUUUUGAACAACAAGGCGCAAGUCAUGUUCUACCCAAGUUUUGUACGUAAGUUUUUCUUAAUUUAUGUUUCGAUAAUUGAAUUUCAGAACAACUAACUUUUAAUUCAUCAAGUCGGAUGUUCAAAUUAAUUGCAGCCUUCUAAAGACAUGCAUGAAUAGGACAAGAAAAAUGUAACCUUUUUUUUGUUUGUUUGUGCAGUGAAACAAUUGUUUUCACUAAGCAACAAAAAACAAGAUUUGGUUCUUUGCUUUGACAAGUUUGACUUUGUUGACUUUAUUUCCACUUAACUUCGCUUGGGGAGGAUAAUGAAGAAACAACUUAAAGUAGGCAUGAUUAUGAACCCUGUCGAUUUUGACUUCUAUUGAUGCUUUACCUACAAAUCUACAGGUUGCUGCAAUUUGUUUUUGUGAAUGGGGCCAGCUUGGUAGUGAACCAUGAAACCCCACCUUACGUGUUAUAUACUUAAAUCCCAAGUACCACCCUUCAAAUUUUAAGUCUAUUCAAAUUUGGCUUCUCAUAUUGUCAAUCCAAUGAUGAGGAUAUUUAUAUAUUUCAUCAAUUUAACUUUUAUAUUUUUUAAAUUGUUUCAUGUCUUACGUUUCUUCUAGGUUAAAUUGUUUUUUAUAUUAGAUUUUUAUAUAAAAAUAUAAAAAGACAGUAGCAUCUAAUAUUUCUUAUUUUUUAAAUGAAUUUUUUAAAAUAAAUUUUCAAUUAAUGAGUUUAUGUUUGGUUCAUUCGUGUUAUUAACUCUAUUAAUAAUUUAAAUAUAAUAACUAUAGAUAUAAUAUUUAAAAUUAUUUUUAUAUAAAAAUAUAAAAAAAUCAAAAUAAAAACAUCAUUAUAAUAAUAUUUCCUAAAUUUUUUAUUUUUAAUAAAUUUUAAUUGAAUUGAUGUUGGAUUAAUUUGUGUUAUUAAUUCUCUCAGAAGUUUAAAUAUAUUAAGUAUAGAUAUAAUAUUUAACUUUUUAAGUGAGGGAAAACUAAGGGGAAAAAGUAUACUUCUACGUACAUCAAGAACUAUGCUUGAUGUUGUUUACUGUUGGAUGCUAAUUUCCAAAUGACUAAAAGGAUUGGACUGAAAGUUUUGCUACGGCUUUGCUCAUUGUUACAGAUGCAAAAAAAUGUUACUUGAUGACGUUAAGUGAAUGAAGUAAAGCUUAAAAAUGUAUCCCACUAAUUGUUCUUGCAGUUUCAUUAAAAGGUGCAAGAUUUAGCUCCUAACUUAUUAGAUGCAUGUUGGACUUGAAUCUGUCUUGUUCUUUUGUUUUUUUAUCUUGAACAAGGUUUUGAAAUAUUAAACAUUUAUAGGAAGAGAGCAUUCGUGAGGCCAUUGAAGAUGCUAGAUUUCAAGCUGCAUUGAUUCAAGACGAGACCGACGAUAAAUCCGUUCAAGUCUGCCUGAUCCGGAUCAACGGAAUGACAUGCACUUCUUGUUCCUCCACUCUUGAAAAUGCUUUGCAGGCAGUUCCCGGUGUGCAAAAGGUCCAAGUGGCUUUAGCAACCGAAGAGGCACAGAUUCAUCAUGAUCCCAAAAUCAUAACCUGCAAUCAACUCAUGGAGAAAAUAGAAGAGACCGGAUUCGGAGCCGUACUUGUUAGCACUGGAGAAGACAUGAGCAAGAUCAAUCUCCGUAUCGAUGGUGUGAGGACGGUUAACUCGAUGAGAAUGCUUGAAAAUUCCCUUCAAGCACUCCCUGGUGUUCAAGCUGUACAAAUAUCCCCUGAACUCAAAAAAAUUGCAGUCUCAUACAAACCAGAUAUGACAGGACGAAGAAACUUCAUCAAAGUAAUAGAUUCAACAGGCAGUAGCAGGCGUUUUAAGGCAACGAUAUAUUCCGAAGGUGAAGGUGGUGGAAGGGAAUCUCAUAGAAAGAAAGAAAUUAAGCAGUACUUCAGAUCCUUCCUAUGGAGCUUGAUUUUCACUACUCCUGUAUUUUUAACCUCCAUGAUUUUCAUGUAUAUCCCUGGAAUUAAACAUGGAUUGGACACCAAAGUAGUGAAUAUGUUAACUAUAGGUGAAGUCAUAAGAUGGGUGCUAUCAACUCCGGUUCAGUUCAUAAUAGGGAGACGGUUUUACACCGGUUCUUAUAAAGCAUUACGCCACGGGUCUGCAAAUAUGGAUGUUUUAAUCGCAUUGGGGACUAAUGCAGCUUACUUUUAUUCUGUCUACAGCGUGAUAAGAGCUGCUUCUCCAGAUUUUGAAGGUACUGAUUUUUUUGAAACAAGUGCAAUGCUUAUCUCAUUCAUUUUACUUGGUAAGUAUCUUGAGGUUCUAGCUAAAGGAAAAACAUCAGAAGCCAUUGCUAAGCUUAUGAACCUUGCACUUGAGACAGCAAUGUUGUUGAGUUUAGAUGAAGAAGGGAAUGUGAUAGGUGAAGAAGAAAUCGAUAGUCGACUGAUACAAAAGAAUGAUAUUAUCAAAAUCCUACCUGGUGCAAAAGUAGCUUCAGAUGGUUUUGUUUUGUGGGGGCAAAGUCAUAUAAAUGAAAGCUUGAUAACCGGAGAAGCACGACCGGUGGCAAAAAGGAAAGGCGAUACGGUUAUCGGAGGUACGGUUAAUGAGAAUGGAGUAUUGCAUAUUAAAGCAACAAAGGUUGGUUCAGAAAGUGCACUUGCACAGAUUGUUCGUCUUGUUGAAUCUGCUCAAAUGGCCAAAGCUCCUGUACAGAAGUUUGCCGAUCGUAUUUCCAAAUAUUUCGUGCCUCUGGUAAGUCAAGAGAGUCCUUUUAGGAUUGUUUCCACAAAGUUGGUUUUAAGCUACUUCUUGUUGUUGUUGUCUUCAACAGGUGAUCAUGCUUUCCUUUUCAACGUGGCUUGCAUGGUUUUUAGCUGGAAAGCUCCAUGGUUACCCUGAAUCAUGGAUACCAUCUUCAAUGGACAGUUUCGAGCUGGCACUUCAGUUUGGAAUCUCAGUGAUGGUCAUAGCUUGUCCAUGUGCCUUGGGGCUUGCAACCCCUACUGCUGUUAUGGUCGGUACCGGUGUCGGUGCAUCUCUAGGUGUAUUAAUCAAAGGUGGUCAAGCAUUGGAAGGUGCACAUAAGGUAAAUUGCAUUGUAUUCGACAAGACAGGAACUCUCACGGUCGGAAAGCCGGUCGUUGUUAACACAAGACUGUUGAAAAACGUGGUGUUACAUGAAUUCUACGAGCUUGUUGCUGCAACUGAGGCAAACAGUGAGCAUCCCUUAGCCAAAGCCAUUAUCCAGUAUGCCAAGUUCAGAGAAGAUGAAGAGAACCCUGCAUGGCCAGAAGCACGUGACUUCGUCUCUAUAACACGACAUGGAGUGAAAGCCAUUGUUAGGGACAAGGAAAUAAUUGUGGGAAACAAGAGCUUAAUGUUGGAAAACAACAUUGUUAUUCCAGUUGAUGCUCAAGACAUGUUAACCGAAACCGAAUCGAUGGCUCAAACCGGCAUUUUAGUAUCGAUAGACGGUGAAGUAACGGGAGUUCUCGCCAUAUCCGAUCCAGUGAAACCAGGUGCACAAGAAGUUAUUUCCAUUCUCAAGUCAAUGAAUGUAAGAAGCAUCAUGGUGACUGGUGAUAAUUGGGGAACUGCAAGUUCCAUUGCUAGUCAAAUUGGCAUUGAAACUGUUGUCGCAGAAGCUAAACCUGAACAAAAAGCAGAGAAAGUAAAAGAGUUACAAGCGGAAGGUUAUGCUGUGGCAAUGGUAGGGGAUGGCAUCAAUGAUUCGCCGGCACUUGUAGCCGCCGAUGUCGGUAUGGAAAUUGGUGCAGGAACAGAUAUU